AGAAUUUUAAUGGUCGAACAGACCAACCCUUAAAGACUUCUGCGCCUUUAGGAUAUUCUGGUCCAACAUCGAGGUCACAAACCUUUUUUUCGAUUAGAACUCUCAAAAAAGAUAAUGCUGUUAUCCCUACGGUAACUAAUUUCAUUAAUCAAUAAAAUUGGAUCAUAAUCAGUAAAUUUAGUUAAUUAAGGAAGCUUUAUUUGUUCCUUAGUCGCCCCAACUAAAAUUUUUUGUAGUAUAUGCUUCAUAUAUGUUCUUAAUUCAACAAAUUUUUUUUAAGCUCGAUAGGGUCUUCUUGUCUUUUAAUUGAAUUUAGAUUUCUUCAUCUAAAAAUAAAAUUCUAGUAAAUAAAAAAGAGACAGUUUUACUCUUGUCAAACCAUUCAUUCUAGUCCCCAAUUAUGAAACAAAUUAUUAUGCUACCUUUGCACGGUUAAAAUACCGCGGCCGUUAAAUAUAUAUCACCGGGCAGGUUCGACUCUUUAUAUUAUCAAAACAAAGAGAC
Molecule: ribosomal RNA, 504 nt
Filed under: Calyptraea fastigiata
Lineage: Eukaryota; Metazoa; Mollusca; Gastropoda; Littorinimorpha; Calyptraeidae
Description: partial 16S ribosomal RNA
Source: RNAcentral